GGGGAUGUCACGGGUUCGACAUGAUCAAGGUUUAAGUGAAUGCAGUGGGGUAUGCCCCUUAUAGCUUGAGAUGCAAACAAAUGCAGACAAACAAGAAGAAGUAGCUAUUAAUCAACCAUUAUUAGCUAACCAAUUCCAAUACAACUUCGCAGUAGCUGCUUAAUUAUAAACAGUUCAAUGUGAAUAUUGGGUGUAGUAGAUAUUUCGUCUCUUCUAUCUAAAACACUUUAAGCAAAGAGAAUAUAUCAUUGCGAUGCUAAUAACAUUGAUGAAUCUAAUCUUAGCUAUCUCUAAUGGUGGUAGUCUAUAACCAUACAACAUUAGAUGAAGGUUUAAUAGUAGACUAAACUGUAGUAUUUGCUUAGGUUUUGUUUGUGGAAAUGGGUUCAAUUCCCAUCAUCUCCACCA
Molecule: transfer-messenger RNA, 408 nt
Filed under: Mycoplasmoidaceae
Lineage: Bacteria; Bacillati; Mycoplasmatota; Mycoplasmoidales
Also listed under: 1 other name
Description: Malacoplasma_A sp902800015 Standard tmRNA
Rfam family: transfer-messenger RNA
About the family: Bacterial tmRNA, also known as 10Sa RNA or SsrA, is named for its dual tRNA and mRNA-like properties. Its role is to liberate the mRNA from a stalled ribosome. To accomplish this part of the tmRNA is used as a reading frame that ends in a translation stop signal.
Source: RNAcentral